This 440-nucleotide ribosomal RNA is filed under the name uncultured bacterium. Its description in RNAcentral is "partial 16S ribosomal RNA". It matches the Rfam family "Bacterial small subunit ribosomal RNA", at positions 338 to 795 of the family's 1533-position model. The record is from RNAcentral.
CCUACGUGAGGCAGCAGUGGGGAAUAUUGCACAAUGGGGGAAACCCUGAUGCAGCGACGCCGCGUGAGUGAAGAAGUAUUUCGGUAUGUAAAGCCCUAUCAGCAGGGAAGAAAAUGACGGUACCUGAUUAGGAAGCCCCGGCUAACUACGUGCCAGCCGCCGCGGUAAUAAGUAGGGAGCAAGCGUUAUCCGGAUUUACUGGGUGUAAAGGGAGCGUAGGCGGGAGCACAAGUCUGGAGUGAAAUGCCCGGGCUUAACCCCGGAACUGCUUUGGAAACUGUGCAGCUAGAGUGCAGUAGAGGCAGGCGGAAUGCCUGGUGUAGCGGUGAAAUGCGUAGAUAUUAGGAAGAACACCAGUGGCGAAGGCAGCUUGCUGGACUGUAACUGACGUUGAGGCUCGAAAGCGUGGGGAGCAAACAGGAUUAGAUACCCCUGUAGUC